AAGGCACAGUACCACAGAUGCCAGAGUAAAUACAGACUGUGACAUUACACUAACUGGACAAGAACAUCUGCUCAAGCUUUUGAUUUGCAGGAUGAAGACUUUACAUGCAAUGCUGCUGAUGAUGUUUGUUGCAUCAGUCUUUUCAAAACCAUCUCGUCUGCACAGAAGGUCUGAUUCAUCAGACUCGGAGGGUUCGGAUGAAAAUGAUUCACGCGGAAGAUUGAACAUCGAGGAUUCACAGUCGGUCGAGAAUUCUGACGAGUCUAAUGAAUCUUCUGAGGAAGUUGUGCCAAGAACAAUCCCUCCAACUAGAACAAGAACAUGAAUCAUCACGACACGAGACAUCCCACAGUGUGUUACUAUGGAUCUGACAACUGAAAUAAUGGGCAAUAAAUAUAAUACCAAUAUAAUAUCUUGCAAUACUACUGCUUAAUCAUCUUUUCAUGCAAAAAAAAAAAAAAAAAAA
Sinocyclocheilus rhinocerous is the source of this 466-nucleotide long non-coding RNA. RefSeq lists it as uncharacterized. The transcript is spliced from 3 exons. The record is from RefSeq and is a predicted model, not a curated record. NCBI's taxonomy places the organism in Eukaryota, Metazoa, Chordata, Actinopteri, Cypriniformes, Cyprinidae.